GGUAGAGAGGACAAAUGGCAAGUCGUUGGGCUCAUGCCCUGAAGAAGUGGGUUCGAUUCCCGCCUCUACAG
RNAcentral lists this transfer RNA (71 nucleotides) under Alveopora japonica. RNAcentral's name for it is "tRNA-Met". It matches the Rfam family "tRNA". Rfam says of the family: Transfer RNA (tRNA) molecules are approximately 80 nucleotides in length. The record is from RNAcentral. RNAcentral also lists the same sequence under 2 other names. Lineage: Eukaryota; Metazoa; Cnidaria; Anthozoa; Scleractinia; Poritidae.